GCCGAAUUAGCUUAGUGGUAGAGCAUCGCACUUGUAAUGCGGAGGUCGUGAGUUCAAUUCUCACAUUCGGCU
RNAcentral lists this transfer RNA (72 nucleotides) under Gammaproteobacteria bacterium. RNAcentral describes it as "tRNA-Thr". It matches the Rfam family "tRNA". Rfam says of the family: Transfer RNA (tRNA) molecules are approximately 80 nucleotides in length. The record is from RNAcentral. Lineage: Bacteria; Pseudomonadati; Pseudomonadota; Gammaproteobacteria.